RNAcentral lists this ribosomal RNA (468 nucleotides) under uncultured bacterium. RNAcentral describes it as "partial 16S ribosomal RNA". It matches the Rfam family "Bacterial small subunit ribosomal RNA", at positions 28 to 507 of the family's 1533-position model. The record is from RNAcentral.
GACGAACGCUGGCGGCGUGCUUAACACAUGCAAGUCGAACGGAAAGGCCCUGCUUUUGUGCGGUGCUCGAGUGGCGAACGGGUGAGUAACACGUGAGUAACCUGCCCUUGACUUUGAGAUAACUUCAGGAAACUGGGGCUAAUACCGGAUAGGAGCUCCUGCUGCAUGGUGGGGGUUGGAAAGUUUCGGCGGUUGGGGAUGGACUCGCGGCUUAUCAGCUUGUUGGUGGGGUAGUGGCUUACCAAGGCUUUGACGGGUAGCCGGCCUGAGAGGGUGACCGGCCACAUUGGGACUGAGAUACGGCCCAGACUCCUACGGGAGGCAGCAGUGGGGAAUAUUGCACAAUGGGCGGAAGCCUGAUGCAGCAACGCCGCGUGCGGGAUGACGGCCUUCGGGUUGUAAACCGCUUUCGCCUGUGACGAAGCGUGAGUGACGGUAAUGGGUAAAGAAGCACCGGCUAACUACGUG